This 447-nucleotide ribosomal RNA is filed under the name uncultured Alphaproteobacteria bacterium. RNAcentral's name for it is "bacterial SSU rRNA". It matches the Rfam family "Bacterial small subunit ribosomal RNA", at positions 46 to 526 of the family's 1533-position model. The record is from RNAcentral. Lineage: Bacteria; Pseudomonadati; Pseudomonadota; Alphaproteobacteria.
GCUUAACACAUGCAAGUCGAGCGAGGCCCCUUCUUCGGGAGGGUGUUCUAGCGGCGAACGGGUGAGUAACACGUGGGCAACCUGCCCUCAGCUCUGGGAUAACUCCAAGAAACUGGGGCUAAUACCGGAUGGUUCCUACGGGAUAAAGAUUUAUCGCCAAAAGAUGAGUCCGCGUACGAUUAGCUAGUUGGUGAGGUAAUGGCUCACCAAGGCGACGAUCGUUAGCUGGUCUGAGAGGACGAUCAGCCACACUGGGACUGAGACACGGCCCAGACUCCUACGGGAGGCAGCAGUGGGGAAUAUUGGACAAUGGGGGCAACCCUGAUCCAGCCAUGCCGCGUGAGUGAUGAAGGCCUUCGGGUUGUAAAGCUCUUUUGGCGGGGACGAUGAUGACGGUACCCGCAGAAUAAGCCCCGGCUAACUUCGUGCCAGCCGCCGCGGUAAUAC